CUCUUAGCAACACCGACCGGAGCCGCGACGGCCAAUCAGCGCGGCCGGGGGCGGGGCUUCCCGUAGAGGCGGUGACGGCGGGCGACUUCCGGCAAUAUUCUCGGUGCAACGCAGUCGGUGCGCACUGAGGCUGUCGCGUCGGGUGAGGCCAGGAGAACUAUGCCAUUCCUGGGUCAGGACUGGAGAUCUCCUGGGUGGAGUUGGAUUAAAACUGAAGAUGGCUGGAAAAGAUGCGAGUCCUGCAAUCCGGAGCUGGGAAGAGAAAGCAGCCAGUGUAGUCUCAGCCAUGACGUGUGGGAGGAGCUGUUGAACACCCUGCUCUGUUUGGCCUCUGGUCUCAGUAUGUUAAAUAGUGAAGAUGAAGAGAUAUUCAAUAAUGAAGAAUGUGAAUAUGCGUCCAAAAAAAGGAAAAAGGACCAUUUCAGAAAUGACACAAAUACUCAAAGUUUUUAUCGUGAAAAAUGGAUCUAUGUCCAUAAAGAAAGCACAAAAGAAAGGCACGGCUACUGCACUCUAGGGGAGGCGUUCAACCGCCUGGACUUCUCCAGUGCCAUCCAGGAUAUCCGGAGGUUUACAUACGUGGUCAAACUAUUGCAGCUGAUUGCAAAAUCCCAGUUAACUUCAUUGAGUGGUGUUGCACAGAAGAAUUACUUCAACAUUCUGGAUAAAAUUGUUCAGAAGGUGCUCUGUGACCACCAGAACCCUCGCCUGAUCAAGAACCUCCUGCAGGACCUGAGCUCCACCCUCUGCACCCUCAUUAGAGGGGUAGGGAAGUCAGUGUUGGUGGGCAACAUCAACAUUUGGAUUUGCCGUUUAGAAACCGUCCUUAACUGGCAACAACAACUACAGAACCUUCAGAUGACGAAGCAGGUGAAUGAUGGCCUCACCCUCAGCGACCUGCCAUUACACACGCUGAGCAACAUCCUCCACCGCUUCUCAGACGGGUGGGAUGUCGUCACCCUGGGCCAGGUGACGCCCACCCUGUACGUGCUCAGCGAGGACAGGCAACUGUGGAAGAAGCUGUGUCAGUACCAUUUUGCUGAAAAGCAGUUUUGUAGACAUUUGAUCCUUUCAGAAAAAGGACAUGUAGAAUGGAAGUUGAUGUAUUUCACACUUCAGAAGUAUUACCCAACCAAGGAGCAGUAUGGAGACACCUUGCAUUUUUGCCGGCACUGCAGCAUCCUCUUCUGGAAGGGAACAGCCCUGCAGGCCCUUCGGUGGCAUGACGUGUUUUCUUGGCUGGUUACUGUCUCAUCCUGGAAUGCGUUUCGGUGGUGAACCUGGCAUUUGAUGGUGUGGAUGUUGGGGCUUCAGUGGGGAAAAGGACUACCAUCUCGCUUGGCUCCUGAAGGACUCAGGUCACCCCUGCACUGCGGCUGACCCGGACAGCUGCUUCACGCCCGUGUCCCCACAGCACUUCAUCGAUCUCUUCAAAUUCUAAAGGCAGCCCUCACCCUGCUGGGCCGUCAGAUGUGAGCACCGCGCAUUCUGCGCUUAGCUGGUGGAGUGUUCUCGUGACCAAAACCAGGACGGUUCUGCUACUGGCCGUAUCUGGAGGCCCACACUUCUGGAAAGAACUGGAAAGAACAUGAAAACUGCCACUCCGGGCUGUGCAGCAGGAAUGGUGGUUGUACGUUUCUGUCUUUGAAGGAGUCAGGAGACCCAAGAAAAUCAUUUCUGUUCUUCCUUUUAAACUUCUUUUCUUCUAAGCAUCUUAAAAUUUGCAAUUUUGUAUAUUUAUAAAUCAGAUCAAAAAAGAUUUUUGGUUCUAAACUCUACAUUCUGUGCUAAAUAGAUAUGAAUGACCAAGAAUAUGCUUCUGGGGUGUCAAGUGACAGUUUUCCAUGGACAUCUUCCACCCCACAGGGGAAGAGGGGAGAACACUGAUCCUUGUAAAUUUACAUUAUAAGAAAAAAUAAAUAUCACACACAGUUACUUUCACAAAA
This is a non-coding RNA of Ictidomys tridecemlineatus (thirteen-lined ground squirrel), 1946 nucleotides long. NCBI's taxonomy places the organism in Eukaryota, Metazoa, Chordata, Mammalia, Rodentia, Sciuridae. The record is from RefSeq and is a predicted model, not a curated record.